Chenopodium quinoa (quinoa) is the source of this 503-nucleotide long non-coding RNA. RefSeq lists it as uncharacterized. The transcript is spliced from 3 exons. NCBI's taxonomy places the organism in Eukaryota, Viridiplantae, Streptophyta, Magnoliopsida, Caryophyllales, Amaranthaceae. The record is from RefSeq and is a predicted model, not a curated record.
AACCAAGAAGAUGCACACGAUCACAAAGGCAGUGCUCGAUAGAAUCACCCAGAGGGAAGUGAGACUGGUUGAGUUGGUCUCAGCUAGCGCGAUGGCCAAGGCUAAGAGCACCCAAGCACAGAUGUCAUUGACUAGUGCUGAUGACAUGGCAAUCCGCCCUAACUCUGUAUUGAUGAGCUUGAGCUCGGCAAGAACUCGAGCUAGCACAGGGAAGGCAGUGACAGCGAGAGCAACACCUAGGAAGAGCACAAAAGUUCCGUGGUGGGUGCCGUCAUCUUUGUGUUGCAUUAAGAGGGAGAAGGUGCAUCCAAUGACAAAGGGGGUGAAUAAUCGCGGGUUAUUUUCAAUGGAGAGCAUGCUAUAUUUCCUUUUAGCAAUCAUCAUUUGAAGAUCAGAGCAAGCGAUACAGGAUCCCUACAAGAGUCGUUAAAGGAAACGAUUAUGAAAAUGUACUUACAAGGAUUUCAGCGAUGACUCGGGGUUGGCGAAGUGGCUUGAGGACG